CGGCUGUGACUUCCUUUGGCCGGCCUCCCAUCUCGUUCCAUAUCCUGGCAGGGUGAGCAGGGGUGUCUGUAAAAGGCUUGCUUUCCCCUUCUGCGCAGAGCAUGAACUAUUCAUCGUUAUGGGCCGAGAACAGUUCUUGCAGGUUUCCCUCCGUAACCGGGCAAAAACCAGGCCCCAUGCGUAAUUCCCGGCCUGCGUGUGGCUACUUCCAAACGCCUUUCCCCAGCACAAGACCUCAGCUUCUCACUGAAUCUCAGGCCUGGCUUCGUUCUUUGGCCCUGCCGUGGAUUGGGAUUCAGCAGGAUGGCAACUGCAUGGCUGCCCAGGUCCUUCUGGUUGUGCUACGUGGGACACUGACUCAGCAUGGCCUGAUGAGUGGUGCCAGGUCCGCGCCCAGGAUCCAAACUGGCACACAAAAGACUAGACUGCCCAGCUCUCCGUGGUUAAAUGGAGUCAGGUGGCUGGUUUAUGCCAAUGGGGUUUGAGCUGAAGAGAGAGCUAUCACUCCUCAGCUGAAGCACUGAAGAGCAGGUCAGAGGUCCAGUCUCUCUCUUCCCUGCCAAGGAGACCAAAAGAGUCAUGCGUUCUAGGUGUUGCAGCUACAGAUGGUGGAGCCUCCAUCAGCCUGGAUCCUUGAGCUACUGAUGGAGCAGAAUUUCCCCAACACACACACACCCCUAUCCUUGACUUGCAAUGGACAUGUAGC
Molecule: long non-coding RNA, 706 nt
Filed under: Equus caballus (horse)
Lineage: Eukaryota; Metazoa; Chordata; Mammalia; Perissodactyla; Equidae
Description: lncRNA (ENSECAG00000054049.1)
Source: RNAcentral